This 267-nucleotide ribosomal RNA is filed under the name uncultured bacterium. RNAcentral describes it as "partial 16S ribosomal RNA". It matches the Rfam family "Bacterial small subunit ribosomal RNA", at positions 793 to 1055 of the family's 1533-position model. The record is from RNAcentral.
GUCCACGCCGUAAACGAUGGGUGCUAGCCGUCGGAGAGCUUGCUCUUCGGUGGCGCAGCUAACGCUUUAAGCACCCCGCCUGGGGAGUACGAUCGCAAGAUUAAAACUCAAAGGAAUUGACGGGGGCCCCGCACAAGCGGUGGAGCAUGUGGUUUAAUUCGAAGCAACGCGAAGAACCUUACCAGGCCUUGACAUCCCGGUCGCGGCCCCUUGAAAGAGGGGCCUUCAGUUCGGCUGGACCGGUGACAGGUGCUGCAUGGCUGUCGU